Molecule: ribosomal RNA, 28 nt
Filed under: Verrucaria alpicola
Lineage: Eukaryota; Fungi; Ascomycota; Eurotiomycetes; Verrucariales; Verrucariaceae
Description: partial 18S small subunit ribosomal RNA
Source: RNAcentral
CGUAGGUGAACCUGCNGAAGGAUCAUUA